UCCUACGGGAGGCAGCAGUAGGGAAUCUUCCGCAAUGGACGAAAGUCUGACGGAGCAACGCCGCGUGAGUGAUGAAGGUUUUCGGAUCGUAAAGCUCUGUUGUUAGGGAAGAACAAGUACCGUUCGAAUAGGGCGGUACCUUGACGGUACCUAACCAGAAAGCCACGGCUAAUUACGUGCCAGCAGCCGCGGUAAU
Molecule: ribosomal RNA, 196 nt
Filed under: uncultured bacterium
Lineage: Bacteria
Description: partial 16S ribosomal RNA
Rfam family: Bacterial small subunit ribosomal RNA
Source: RNAcentral